CCACCCAUGUUAUCUACAUGAUUAAAUGUCUAUGUGGGCUGUGUAAUGUAGGUAAACACCACCCAUGUUAUCUACAUGAUUAAAUGUCCAUGUGGGUUGUGUUAUGUAGGUAAACACCACCCAUGUUAUCUACAUGUAUAAUGUCCAUGUGGGUUGU
Molecule: non-coding RNA, 157 nt
Organism: Oncorhynchus mykiss (rainbow trout)
Lineage: Eukaryota; Metazoa; Chordata; Actinopteri; Salmoniformes; Salmonidae
Source: RefSeq, a predicted model, not a curated record